RNAcentral lists this ribosomal RNA (448 nucleotides) under uncultured bacterium. RNAcentral's name for it is "partial 16S ribosomal RNA". It matches the Rfam family "Bacterial small subunit ribosomal RNA", at positions 330 to 794 of the family's 1533-position model. The record is from RNAcentral.
GCCAGACUCCUACGGGAGGCAGCAGUGGGGGAUAUUGCACAAUGGGGGAAACCCUGAUGCAGCGACGCCGCGUGAGUGAAGAAGUAUUUCGGUAUGUAAAGCUCUAUCAGCAGGGAAGAAAAAAGACGGUACCUGACUAAGAAGCCCCGGCUAACUACGUGCCAGCAGCCGCGGUAAUACGUAGGGGGCAAGCGUUAUCCGGAUUUACUGGGUGUAAAGGGAGCGUAGACGGCAAUACAAGUCGGAAGUGAAAUACCCGGGCUCAACCUGGGAACUGCUUUGGAAACUGUAUGGCUGGAGUGCUGGAGAGGUAAGCGGAAUUCCUAGUGUAGCGGUGAAAUGCGUAGAUAUUAGGAGGAACACCAGUGGCGAAGGCGGCUUACUGGACAGUAACUGACGUUGAGGCUCGAAAGCGUGGGGAGCAAACAGGAUUAGAUACCCCGGUACC